GUCGAGGGGUAUGGCAGCAAUGCCAGAGACCGGCGCACGGGUGCGUAACGCGUAUGCAACCUACCUUUCACAGGGGGAUAGCCCAGAGAAAUUUGGAUUAAUACCCCAUGGUAUAUUGAGAUGGCAUCAUCUUAUUAUUAAAGUCACAACGGUGAAAGAUGGGCAUGCGUCCUAUUAGCUAGUUGGUGUGGUAACGGCAUACCAAGGCUACGAUAGGUAGGGGUCCUGAGAGGGAGAUCCCCCACACUGGUACUGAGACACGGACCAGACUCCUACGGGAGGCAGCAGUGAGGAAUAUUGGUCAAUGGGCGCAAGCCUGAACCAGCCAUGCCGCGUGCAGGAUGAAGCAUCUAUGGUGUGUAAACUGCUUUUGUACGGGAAGAAACCCCUCCACGUGUGGAGGAUUGACGGUACCGUAAGAAUAAGGAUCGGCUAACUCCGUGCCAGCAGCCGCGGUAAUACGGAGGAUCCAAGCGUUAUCCGGAAUCAUUGGGUUUAAAGGGUCCGUAGGCGGGCUAAUAAGUCAGUGGUGAAAUCUCCCCGCUCAACGGGGAAACGGCCAUUGAUACUGUUAGCCUUGAAUUAUUAGGAAGUAACUAGAAUAUGUAGUGUAGCGGUGAAAUGCUUAGAUAUUACAUGGAAUACCAAUUGCGAAGGCAGGUUACUACUAAUUGAUUGACGCUGAUGGACGAAAGCGUGGGUAGC
Molecule: ribosomal RNA, 705 nt
Filed under: uncultured Bacteroidota bacterium
Lineage: Bacteria; Pseudomonadati; Bacteroidota
Description: bacterial SSU rRNA
Rfam family: Bacterial small subunit ribosomal RNA
Source: RNAcentral